Molecule: ribosomal RNA, 484 nt
Filed under: uncultured bacterium
Lineage: Bacteria
Description: partial 16S ribosomal RNA
Rfam family: Bacterial small subunit ribosomal RNA
Source: RNAcentral
AUUGAACGCUGGCGGCAGGCCUAACACAUGCAAGUCGAGCGGAUGAAGGGAGCUUGCUCCUGGAUUCAGCGGCGGACGGGUGAGUAAUGCCUAGGAAUCUGCCUGGUAGUGGGGGAUAACGUCCGGAAACGGGCGCUAAUACCGCAUACGUCCUGAGGGAGAAAGUGGGGGAUCUUCGGACCUCACGCUAUCAGAUGAGCCUAGGUCGGAUUAGCUAGUUGGUGGGGUAAAGGCCUACCAAGGCGACGAUCCGUAACUGGUCUGAGAGGAUGAUCAGUCACACUGGAACUGAGACACGGGCCAGACUCCUACGGGAGGCAGCAGUGGGGAAUAUUGGACAAUGGGCGAAAGCCUGAUCCAGCCAUGCCGCGUGUGUGAAGGGGGUCUUCGGAUUGUAAAGCACUUUAAGUUGGGAGGAAGGGCAGUAAGUUAAUACCUUGCUGUUUUGACGUUACCAACAGAAUAAGCACCGGCUAACUUCGUG